Molecule: ribosomal RNA, 320 nt
Filed under: uncultured bacterium
Lineage: Bacteria
Description: bacterial SSU rRNA
Rfam family: Bacterial small subunit ribosomal RNA
Source: RNAcentral
UGCAUGUACCGCUACGAAUAAGGACCGGCUAAUUCCGUGCCAGCAGCCGCGGUAAUACGGAAGGUCCGAGCGUUAUCCGGAUUUAUUGGGUUUAAAGGGUGCGUAGGCGGCAUGUCAAGUCAGCCGUGAAAUUGCGGGGCUCAACCCCGUACUGCGGUUGAAACUGGCGCGCUUGAGUGCGGGAGAGGAAGAUGGAAUUCGUGGUGUAGCGGUGAAAUGCAUAGAUAUCACGAAGAACUCCGAUUGCGAAGGCAGUCUUCUGGUCCGUAACUGACGCUGAUGCACGAAGGUGCGGGUAUCAAACAGGAUUAGAUACCCUG